CCCUUAGAUGUCCUGGGCCGCACGCGCGCUACACUGAUGCAUUCAACGAGUUUUACCUUGGCCGAGAGGCCUGGGCAAUCUUUUAAACCUGCAUCGUGAUAGGGAUAGAUUAUUGCAAUUAUUAAUCUUGAACGAGGAAUUCCUAGUAAACGCAGAUCAUCAAUCUGCAUUGAUUACGUCCCUGCCCUUUGUACACACCGCCCGUCGCACCUACUGAUUGAAUGGUCCGGUGAAGCCUCGGGAUUGUGGCCAGUUCACUUUAUUGGGAGUUGGCUGCGAGAACUUGUCUAAACCUUAUCAUUUAGAGGAAGGUGAAGUCGUAACA
Molecule: ribosomal RNA, 325 nt
Filed under: uncultured eukaryote
Lineage: Eukaryota
Description: partial 18S ribosomal RNA
Rfam family: Eukaryotic small subunit ribosomal RNA
Source: RNAcentral